UGCCAGCCGCCGCGGUAAUACGUAGGGACCGAGCGUUGUCCGGAAUUAUUGGGCGUAAAGAGCUCGUAGGCGGUUCUUUAAGUCGGAUGUGAAAUCUCAGGGCUUAACCCUGAAACCGCACCCGAUACUGGAGAACUUGAGGCAGGUAGGGGAGAUCGGAAUUCCUGGUGUAGCGGUGAAAUGCGCAGAUAUCAGGAGGAACACCGGUGGCGAAGGCGGAUCUCUGGGCCUGUUCUGACGCUGAGGAGCGAAAGCGUGGGGAGCAAACAGGAUUAGAUA
This 279-nucleotide ribosomal RNA is filed under the name uncultured bacterium. Its description in RNAcentral is "partial 16S ribosomal RNA". It matches the Rfam family "Bacterial small subunit ribosomal RNA", at positions 506 to 784 of the family's 1533-position model. The record is from RNAcentral.